UGAUUGCUGGUAACUAAUCAGUGGUGAUUGUGUGCUACAAUUUGCUUAAAAGAUCCAGGGUGAAUAUCAUAGCAUAUGAAAUAGAUGAAGUUUUCUCUCUUAGGAUCAUGCUACAGGCUUCAAUCUUAUCAAACACUCCUUAUCAGAUCCCUGGAAUCAACCUUUCUCAAUCAGCAGCGAAUGACUAUGUUUUCUGGCACCUUUUGCGUGAUUAAUAACUGUUAGUUGAAAGCCAGAUCCCACAUUCCUCAAUACAAGGAUAUGACUGAGACGAUGAAGCAGCAACUUUUCAAAUGAAGUUACUCUUCUGUUCUCUGCACUCUGCUGAGAUUUCUCAGUGUUCCACAAAUCUGUGUAUCGUAAUACUCUACCUGGAUAGUGUGUUUAUGUAAGGUAGCUGGGAUGGCGAUCUUGGGAGGCAAUGAAUUGUUCUGAAAUUAAACUUGCCAAUCUCUUUGAAAUACAGUUCAUGGUAUAUUUAAGAAAAACGCAUUUGAAAUGUCACUGCACUACAUACUCACUAUGCCAAAUUCUAGCUAGGUAUUGAUUUUUGCAGCCAAGUCACAAACCUUUUGAAAGUAAAGCUUGCAUUUAAAAUGCCAACGUUUAAUUAUUUUAAAAAAACGAUCAGAUGUCUGAAUAAUAAAGAAGAUAUAUAUCUUUGUAAAUCAUUCUUGUG
Long non-coding RNA from Felis catus (domestic cat), 679 nucleotides. RefSeq lists it as uncharacterized. The record is from RefSeq and is a predicted model, not a curated record. NCBI's taxonomy places the organism in Eukaryota, Metazoa, Chordata, Mammalia, Carnivora, Felidae. The transcript is spliced from 4 exons.